CUGGAGGCGCGUCAAAACCUGUGUGUUUCUCCUCUCUGUAACUCAUAGUCGUGUGGUAUAGCUGUCUAGUGGGUCAGUCUAGCUUCACAUAUUCGGUCAAUGACUUUCACCUUGAUGAAGAAGAAGAGGUUUAAGUUUAAAGUAGACGCGGAGUUGGAGGAGCUGUCAUCUGUUCCUUUUGUGAAUGGAGUUUUGUUCUGCAAGGUCCGACUCACGGACGGGGGCUUUUCGGAGGAGUCAUCGAGAGAGCCGGUUCUGGCUAACUGUGUUAAAUGGAGAAAAAGAUUAUCUUUCUUAUGCAAGAUGAGUGCUAAUGCAGCGACAGGCAUACUGGACCCUUGUGUUUUCCGGGUAUCUGUAAGAAAGGAGCUAAAAGGUGGGAAAACAUUUGCAAAGCUAGGCUUUGCUGAUUUAAACCUGGCUGAGUUUGCCGGAUCAGGAAGCACAACACGGCACUGUCUACUGGAGGGAUACAACACAAAGAACACACGUCAGGAUAACUCUAUACUUAAGUUGAUUAUCAGUAUGCAGCUAAUGUCGGGUGAUCCCUGCUUUAAAACGCCUCCAUCCACUGCAGUGACCAUUGGCUUUCCAGUAGAUGCAGAGUGUCUUCAUGAAGACAGAAGAGGAGAAACACAGAAAACAACUCAAAUUUGUACAGAAAACCCAGGAAAAAGUGUCACCAAUCUAGGUUCUGCUUCUGUUCCGAAUGAACUGGGAAAUUGUGGCCACUCAAGAACCUCAAGCUAUGCCAGCCAGCAGUCCAAGCUCUCAGGCUACAGCACAGGUCGCUCCCACUCUUCUAGCCUGACAGAGCUUUCUCAUAGGAGGAAUUUAUCUGUAGGCAGUGCCUCCACAGGGAUUGGCAGCUUACCAGAGCCCAGUGAGGAAGGAGAGUGCCGCCCACCAGCCUGUACACCUGUACCCCAACACUUAAUUACACCAUCACACAGUGGCAGCUCAGCCAACAGAUACCCUGUAAAGCAGGACUCAGUUGAGUCUCAGCUAAAGAGAGUGGAUGCUACUAGAGUGGAUGCCGAUGAUAUCAUUGAGAAAAUCCUGCAAGGCCAAGACUUCAGCCACAGCAUACUGGACUCUAGUAAUGAAGGAUAGUAAAACCUGAGAUUACCUACCUUGUGGGUCCUAGCCAGCGUUUCCCAUGAGGGAAAUGGCUUAUUAAACAUACUAAACAAUUUGUUUUUUGUUUUUUUAUUAAAAAAUGCAAAAAGGUUUCUGUGAGGGUUAGGUUUAAGGGUAGGGUUAGGGGAUAGAAAUUAUCAUUAGAUCUGUAUAAAAUCCAAAAAAUGCAUGGAAGUAUAUGGAGAGUCCCCACAAUGAUAUAAAAACAAGUUUGUGUGUGUGUGUGUGUGUGUGUGUGUGUGUGUGUUGUAGAGGAGGGUCUGCGGCUGUUUGUUGGACCAGGUGGAAGCAUUGCAUUGGGCACUCAGCACACUAGGGUUGGUGCUGGGGCUUUUGAACAGGUGGUUAUUAAACGCUAGACUGAAUGUUUGUGGGGGAAGAUGAUGUAACAUCCUGUCAAACAUGAGGACAGCAGUUCUCUUCGAUCACAAGCAGCAAUGGACUACUUGCACACUGCUUCCGUGUUCUAAGUAGUGCAGCUCAGGUGUUUCCGGUUACAAUGUUCAGCGCGCCUACAGGCAGAGAUUUAUUAAGGGAAGGCAGAUUAUUUCUUUUUUUUUAGGGCUGUCAGUUGAUAAAAUCAAUAAAUCAUAUUUAUGGCGCUAACAUGACGUCUCAAUUUUGUAAUUCGCUGAAAUUUGGCUCUAAAUAUAUUUUUUCCUUUCCAAAUGUAGCUAAACUCAGCUCCUGAAUAAUAAAUCAAACAUAUAUAACCUGCAGCUGUCUGGCCAUCUCAUUAACAUCCGUUUCAUUCAUUAAUGAUAUUUCAUACCAGUUGAGAUUCAACGAUAAAUUCCACCAUAUGAUUGCAAAUGCUUUUCUUUGGAUAAAUGUCCCAGAUGUAUUUAUUUAUAAAUACAUUAGCUGUUAUCUUACUCUGACCAUGUUUUAAAAAUCACUCGAACAGAACAGAAUGAAGCAGUUGUAUUAUCAAAUUAAAUAAAUAACUGCAUUAAAAUAUAUUUAACCACACAACAUUAAUCUAUUUCAAACGUUAUAACUCAUUAUCUUUAGCAGCUCUUACUUAUGCAUUUGCAUUUCAAAAUUUAUCGAUAUACAGUAAUUAUCAGUGAAACAGUGACACAAAAUAAAGAUUAAAACAUUUAAUAAAAAUAUGUUGAUGCAUGCGUUCACCACGUCUUUCUCCUUCCUCACACAUUAAAUAUGGCAGUGACUGAACCACAUAGUUGUUUAAUUCAAUGAGCGCCAGUGGUGCCGACACCCUUCGUCUCCUUUAACCUUUUGUAAUUUGCGUUUCAAGCUGAUCUGUGGUUAAAUGUCUGCCAUAGACCUCCAUGUGAGGAGAAACGGUGAAAUGCGCUUGGUUGGAGUAUAUACCAGCCAUUGCUUUCUCAGAUUGGUUUGGGCUGAAUUAAAGCUCUGAAAACUGUUCUUCCACUGAAUUUUGAAACUGUACACGGUACUGUUCUGAAUAUUUCUUCUCUCUCUGAAAAGAUCCGUACUUUAAAAUCCUCUGUCAAACACUCAUUUUAAGUACCGUUUCAGGAACUAGGCAACAAGGGUGCAUGUAAACAUAUUUAACCGGAAACUAGCGGGCCGCACUGUUUCAACGUUGAAGUACGUCAAGAGGAUCAGUGCAAGUAGACGUAUUCGUGGGCUCUCGGGGGAGGAGUCCAAGAUGGCGUCCUGCUAGCUUAACUUUUGCUGAGAUCUGCUGGCAAAUGUACUUUAGCGGCAAAAUAUUCUUUCUUAAAGCUACUUAAGUACAAUUUUGUUUACAACUACCUCACAUCAUACCUUAAGACUCUAAAUACGAAGUCGUCCGCUGAUAAAAGGAAAGAUGUGUCGGGAGUUUUGCAUCUAUCUGAAAAGAUGGAUUUCCACACCUACGCAUCUUCUGAGGGAGCCCGGCCGGGGACCCAACACUGCCUCCAGAUAGCCCAGCUAAGCCUCCACCUAAAAAGGACAAGACAGAUGAUAACUCUUCUGUGAUCUCCAGGCUGUCUCAGCUUAUUAACACCCGCUCUGAUGCCAUAGAGAAAAUGGAGAGUGAUAAUGCUUUGGAAAUUGAAGGUCUGAAGAAAACAGUGGACUUUGUGUGUGCAGAAUUAAACGACUUUAAAGGCAAAGUUAAUCACUUUGAAUCGAGACUGAACACUGAAGAGAGGAAGAUGGGAUUCUGCGAACAACGUCUCGUGGAUUUGGAAAGAUAGUCCCGUCGCUGGAAUCUACGUUUACAAGGUGUAACUGAAAGGGAAGGUGAGGAUAUAAGAGCAGAAUCCAUCCGUAUCUGUGAAGCCACGUUCCCGGGCGGAGGACACAUUCUAGCAGACAAAAUCGACACAGUUCACUGCAUUGGGAGGAGGCUCCCAAAUAGUUCACGACCUCGACCCAUCAUUAUUCAGUUUUCUUCGCGGGUGAUGAAAGAUGGCGUAUGGAAAGCAGCGAGGACAUCAGAGUUUCUGCUUGCCAAUCAACUUCGUUUGACUGAGGAUCUUUUUGCGUCUGAUCGGGAAAGGAGUUAGUUGCUCUGCCCGACAGUCGAAAAGGCUCGAAAGGAGGGAAAAAGGGCUCACUUCGUGGGAGGCCAUGCAUUCAUUGAUGGAACUGAAAUCAACUCACCGUAACAUGGUUGAUUGGUAUGACUGGUGGUUGUAAGCUCAAUCUUACUUUUACUGUUCUUAUGCUGCAGAUUUAUCUGAUUUUGCUAGCCAGCUAUCGGUGCACUUUUAUUUACUGAGGGUUCUGCUAAUUUUGUCAUUUUGUUCUUUGUUAUUUUUGUUGUGUUCUUUUGAAUGUUUGUUUCCAUUGUUUCUCUCAAUGCCAGGGGGUUACAAAAUAAUGUUAAGCGUAAAGCAUUGUUUUUGUAUGCAAAAUCAUGUAAAACUGAUUUUUGUUUUUUCAGGAGUCUCACUCCAUUGGUAAUGACACUACAUUUUGGAAACAUCAAUGGGGAGAUGAUAUUUGGAUGGCUCAUAGGUCAGAGCAUUCUGCUGGUGUAAUGAUAAUGAAAAACUGAUUUACUGGGGCAGUUUUAUAUAAUUACAGUGAUCCUAAGGGGCACUUUCUUUUAUUAGUACUUAGACUUAAUAAUUUUUUUGUGAUGAUAAAUAUUUAUGGUUACAAUACUUCUCAGGAAAAUGACCGGCUGUUUGAAGAGAUAGGAGAAAAUAUUCUGUUAUGGCUUAAUAUGCACCCAGAUGCAUUCAAUUGUAUUGGUGGGGAUUUUAACACAGUUCCUGAUAAUAGUCUUGACAGACUAUCCCCUAAGCAGUCUGCUUCUCCUAAUUCUAAAUUGAAAAUGUUCAUGGACAAAUUUGAUUUAAUUGAUUUCUGGAGGGAGAAGUUUCCAAAUGCCAAGUCAUACAUAUGGUCAAGAUAUUCUUAGAUAGAUUACUGGCUUGUACCCCUCUCACUUAAAGGUCACAAUAUUUCAGUUAGUAUUCUUCAGUCCCCAUUAACUGACCAUCAUGCCAUUCUUCUUCAUACUCCUCUAUCCACAGACCGUUUAGGUACAGAUGCUAGAGCUUGUUACUGGAAGCUUAAUUCUUCUCUACUUAAGUAUGAAGAAUCAAAAAAGAGAAUUUCCUUUUUGAUUCAAUACUAUUGGGUUAAAGCUUCAACUGACAAAAAAAAUUGGUGUAAAUUGGGAGAUUCUUAAAUUUGAAGUAGGAAAAUGUGUUAGAAAUUUCAGAUGUAAUUUAGCAAAACAGAGAAGGUAUGAAGAGGAAUCUGUCAUAACCAAGAUUAUGACUCUCCAUAACAAAGCCCAGGAUUGCUUAUCGGAAGCUGACCUAACAGAAAUGACAGACCUGCAAGUUAAAUUAGAUUAUAUUUAUGAGUACAGAGCUGAACUCCUUUAUUUGUUCUAGGAGGAAAUUACUGGAGCAUGGAGAACAAAGCUCUGCUAAUUUUUUUAGAAUGGAAAAUCAUAAUGCUAGGAAUCUGACUAUUGACUCAUUGAAAAUUAAUGAUAGAUUGACAAAUAACCCCCAAGGAAAUUGGCUCAUUUUGUGCUAACAUUUAUUCUAAACUUUACAAAUCUAAUUAUUGUAAGGAUUCAGCCUCUCUUUUCUUUCAGUUUUUAAAGAAGGUUAAAACAAUUUCUAGGGACGAACAGCUUGCAUGCGAUAGUGUUAUAACUAUUGCUGAAGUGACUGAGGCUAUUGUAGGUCUUAAGAACAACAAGUCCUCUGGAACGGAUGGCCUGACAGCUGAGUUCUAUAAGAACUUUGUUAAAGAACUGACACCUUUCUUGCUUGAGAUGUUUUUGGAAAGUGUCCAAUCGGAAACUCUCCCUCCUAGUUUAACACAGGGGCUACAUACCUUGAUACCUAAACCUAGGAAAGAUAUCUUAUUGAUAGAUAAUUGGUGUCCCAUAUGUCUUCUCAACAAUGAUUAUAAGGUGUUAGCCUUGAUUUUAGCCAAAAGACUUAAGCUUGUCCUGGGUUCUGUUAUAGAUGAGACCCAAUCAGGUUUAUCCGAAAAAGACAUAUAGCUAACAAUACACGUCUUGUCUUAGAUUUAUUAGACUAUGCCGAACUGAUUAAUUAUGAAAGUUUUAUUUUGUUUCUAGAUUUUCACAAAGCCUUUGACUCUCUCGAACAUGAGUUUAUUCUAUAGUCCCUUGCUAAGCUUGGUUUUGGUGACUCCUGUUAAUUUAUUAGAUCUCUUUACAAAAAUGGAAACUGUUCUAUCAACAGUAAAUCAGGUUGUUAUGCCCUGUGUCUCCUUACUUGUUUCUUUUAACUGCCCAACUCCUCACAUCUUCUAUUUUGAGUAGUCAUUUGCAAGGUAUUGUUAUUGCUGACAAACAUAUUAUUAUAAGCCAGUUAGCAGAUGAUACGACUUUGUUUUUGAAAGAUGAUUCACAGUUCCCUAUUGCUAUCGACUAUAUCAAAACAUUUUCCAAAGCUUCUGGCCUAACUUUAAAUCUUGAUAAAUGUGAGUUGUUAGCUAUUAAAACCGGCCCUUCUCCCUCUAUGUAUGGUAUCCCAGUAAAGACACAGGUGACAUAUUUAGGCAUAGUUAUAUAUAAGGAUGAUAGUGCCAGAUGUAGAAUGAACUUUGACCCAGUGGUUGGAAAGGCAAAAAGGAAAUUUAAUUCCUGGUUACAGAGAGAUUUAACGUUAAGAGGAAGGACUGUCCUUGCUAAAGCUGAGGUUAUUUCGAGAAUGACUUACCCUGCUCUUUCUCUGCAGUUGAUAAAUCUGUAUGUACAGACAUUGACAGAAUGCUUUUUGAAUUUUUAUGGAAACAUAAGAGGCAUUAUGUUAAAAAAAAAUCUGUUGUGAUAAAUCAUCAUGACUGUGGUGGUCUAAAUUAUAUUGAUUUUGCCUCCUUGAACAAUACUUUUAAGAUAAACUGCCUGAAGCAAUUCUUGACCAACACCUUUCCCAAUUACAUAUUUUCUAAAGUAGGUGGUCUUCCUUUUUUAUUGAUGUGUAAUUACAGUAUUUCUAAAUUGCCCCUUAAAUUGUGAAAUUUUCAUAAGCAAACACUUCUGGCCUGGCACCUAAUUUAUAAGCAUAAUUUCAGCCCGCACUGUUAUUUUAUUUGGAAUAACCAGGACAUUCUUUAUAAAAAUAAGUCUUUGUUUCUCCCAGAUUGUUUCAAAAAUAACAUAAUUUUGGUUUCUCAAUUAAUAAAUAAUGAUGGCCAGUCGCUUUAAUACUCAGAAUUCUUGAAGAAGUAUACCAUACUUGUUACUCCACAAGAAUUUGCUGUUGUAAUGGAUGCCAUCCCUAAUGGGGCCACAUUGUUGUUAAAAGAUUCAGUUAGAUCUCAGUCUCCAUUGCUGACUGUAAUACAUCCUUUUGAAACCAUAACAGGGAAAAUUUGCUUCUUAACCAAUCCUUCCGCUCGAAACAGGAGAAUUAGGCAGCUCUUUCAGAAUGUGAUAGUUUCUGUCCCAUCCAUUGUGUCUUAUUGGAGCAACUAUUUUGCUGACGCCCCAUGGAAGAAAGUGUGGACCUUGUCACAUAAAUAUUUGAUCACCAAUAAUGUCAAGGAUGUGUCCUAUAAAUUCCUACACUGGUUUUACCCUGUUAAGCUUUAUUAAAAAAAAAAAUAUUUCUGGAAAUUUACUCCCUGUGUGCUUUCUGUGUUGCUGAAGAGGAGUCUGCCUUUCAUCUUUUCUGGGAGUGCACACAUACAGCAACUUUUUGGAAAGACUUUUGUAUCUUUAUACGGGUAUGUCUGUUAGAGAGUUUUUCCUGUAUCAUACAAAGAUGUCUUAUUUGGCUGUCAUAAUUUUGAUGUAGGUUUAAAAGAUAAGUUUUUUAUUUUUUAUUUUUAUUUUAUUUUUUAUUUUUUAACACACAAAUGUAAAUUUCAAUGUGUUGUGCCCUCUUUUGCUAUUUUUUGUAAGGAUUUAAAAUCCUAUUUGGUUACUCUUGCUACCUCCAGCAACUCUAAAGCCCUAAAAACCUUUUCUCUCUGUGAUUUUUAGAAUGUUUAUAUACUUUUACAAUAUGUUUUUGAAUGUUAAUGCAUGUAUACCCCUGGCAUUUUCGUUCUACUUUUUGCAAUAAUAAUAAAAAUAAAAAAAUACAAUAAUAAUAAAUAAAUCGUGGGCUCUUGGGAAAUCAGUGCUCUCCCUAGUGGCCAAACCUGAGAAGUUCAGGUUUAGAUGGCUCUGUUAGCUGGUUCUGAUGACAGACAGCUGCUCUACUAUCUCAAAUUACCGGAAAUGCUUGGAUUGGUACUCUAUGGCUAAAAAUAGAUGGUUGUAGUUCUCACAGUAGUUGAAAAAAAUGGGACCUAAUGCCUGAAACCACUAAGGUGGAACUGAAAACAGUCACUAUGACAGAUAAAAUGUGGGACAUUUUAUACUAGUUUAAUAAUGUCAAGAUUUAUUUUAAAGAAUAUAUAUUUUAAUGGAGGGUAAAAAAAAAUGUGCAAUUUAUUGGGUUUCAUGUUGUAUAUUAUAAAACUUAUAGUUGUGUGUAGAAUGGUGUGUAUGAGGAAAACAAGAACAAUGGGUUACAACC
Myxocyprinus asiaticus (Chinese sucker) is the source of this 8093-nucleotide RNA transcript. It is a transcript of the gene named protein FAM102B-like, with no coding region annotated. The transcript has 11 exons. The record is from RefSeq and is a predicted model, not a curated record. Lineage: Eukaryota; Metazoa; Chordata; Actinopteri; Cypriniformes; Catostomidae.